This 65-nucleotide ribosomal RNA is filed under the name Doronicum stiriacum. RNAcentral describes it as "partial 18S ribosomal RNA". It matches the Rfam family "Eukaryotic small subunit ribosomal RNA", at positions 1766 to 1831 of the family's 1831-position model. The record is from RNAcentral. Lineage: Eukaryota; Viridiplantae; Streptophyta; Magnoliopsida; Asterales; Asteraceae.
UUAUCAUUUAGAGGAAGGAGAAGUCGUAACAAGGUUUCUUUAGGUGAACUGCGGAAGGAUCAUUG